This 75-nucleotide transfer RNA is filed under the name Bacilli bacterium. RNAcentral describes it as "tRNA-Arg". It matches the Rfam family "tRNA". Rfam says of the family: Transfer RNA (tRNA) molecules are approximately 80 nucleotides in length. Their secondary structure includes four short double-helical elements and three loops (D, anti-codon, and T loops). Further hydrogen bonds mediate the characteristic L-shaped molecular structure. tRNAs have two regions of fundamental functional importance: the anti-codon, which is responsible for specific mRNA codon recognition, and the 3' end, to which the tRNAs corresponding amino acid is attached (by aminoacyl-tRNA synthetases). tRNAs cope with the degeneracy of the genetic code in two manners: having more than one tRNA (with a specific anti-codon) for a particular amino acid; and 'wobble' base-pairing, i.e. permitting non-standard base-pairing at the 3rd anti-codon position. The record is from RNAcentral. Lineage: Bacteria; Bacillati; Bacillota; Bacilli. RNAcentral also lists the same sequence under 1 other name.
GUUCGAGUAGUUCAAUGGAUAGAAUCUCUCCCUCCGACGGAGAUGAUAUGGGUUCGACUCCCGUCUCGAACACCA